Molecule: non-coding RNA, 24 nt
Filed under: Arabidopsis thaliana (thale cress)
Lineage: Eukaryota; Viridiplantae; Streptophyta; Magnoliopsida; Brassicales; Brassicaceae
Source: RNAcentral
UCUCCUAAACCGCGAUUUAACAGU